This 501-nucleotide ribosomal RNA is filed under the name uncultured bacterium. RNAcentral's name for it is "partial 16S ribosomal RNA". It matches the Rfam family "Bacterial small subunit ribosomal RNA", at positions 28 to 523 of the family's 1533-position model. The record is from RNAcentral.
GAUGAACGCUAGCGACAGGCUUAACACAUGCAAGUCGAGGGGCAUCAUGAGGUAGCAAUACCUUGAUGGCGACCGGCGCACGGGUGAGUAACGCGUAUGCAACCUGCCCGAUACCGGGGUAUAGCCCAUGGAAACGUGGAUUAACACCCCAUAGUACUUUUAUCCUGCCUGGGAUGGGAGUUAAAUGUUCAAGGUAUCGGAUGGGCAUGCGUCAUAUUAGUUAGUUGGCGGGGUAACAGCCCACCAAGACGAUGAUAGGUAGGGGUUCUGAGAGGAAGGUCCCCCACAUUGGAACUGAGACACGGUCCAAACUCCUAUGGGAGGCAGCAGUGAGGAAUAUUGGUCAAUGGACGUAAGCCUGAACCAGCCAAGUCGCGUGAGGGAAGACUGCCCUAUGGGUUGUAAACCUCUUUUAUAAGGGAAGAAUAAGUUCUACGUGUAGAAUGAUGCCUGUACCUUAUGAAUAAGCAUCGGCUAACUCCGUGCCAGCCGCCGCCGUAA